GAUGAACGCUGGCGGCGUGCCUAAUACAUGCAAGUCGAGCGAACGGACGAGAAGCUUGCUUCUCUGAUGUUAGCGGCGGACGGGUGAGUAACACGUGGAUAACCUACCUAUAAGACUGGGAUAACUUCGGGAAACCGGAGCUAAUACCGGAUGAUAUUUUGAACCGCAUGGUUCAAAAGUGAAAGACGGUCUUGCUGUCACUUAUAGAUGGAUCCGCGCUGCAUUAGCUAGUUGGUAAGGUAACGGCUUACCAAGGCAACGAUGCAUAGCCGACCUGAGAGGGUGAUCGGCCACACUGGAGCUGAGACACGGUCCAGAAUCCUACGGGAGGCAGCAGUAGGGAAUCUUCCGCAAUGGGCGAAAGCCUGACGGAGCAACGCCGCGUGAGUGAUGAAGGUCUUCGGAUCGUAAAACUCUGUUAUUAGGGAAGAACAUAUGUGUAAGUAACUGUGCACAUCUUGACGGUACCUAAUCAGAAAGCCACGGCUAACUACGUG
This 497-nucleotide ribosomal RNA is filed under the name uncultured bacterium. RNAcentral's name for it is "partial 16S ribosomal RNA". It matches the Rfam family "Bacterial small subunit ribosomal RNA", at positions 28 to 507 of the family's 1533-position model. The record is from RNAcentral.